UUUGAACGCUGGCGGCAGGCUUAACACAUGCAAGUCGAGCGGAGAUGAGGUGCUUGCACCUUAUCUUAGCGGCGGACGGGUGAGUAAUGCUUAGGAAUCUGCCUAUUAGUGGGGGACAACAUUCCGAAAGGAAUGCUAAUACCGCAUACGUCCUACGGGAGAAAGCAGGGGAUCUUCGGACCUUGCGCUGAUAGAUGAGCCUAAGUCGGAUUAGCUAGUUGGUGGGGUAAAGGCCUACCAAGGCGACGAUCUGUAGCGGGUCUGAGAGGAUGUUCCGCCAGACUUGUACUGAAACACGGCCCAGACUCCUACGGGAGGCAGCAGUGGGGAAUAUUGGACAAUGGGGGAAACCCUGAUCCAGCCAUGCCGCGUGUGUGAAGAAGGCCUUAUGGUUGUAAAGCACUUUAAGCGAGGAGGAGGCUACUGAGACUAAUACUCUUGGAUAGUGGACGUUACUCGCAGAAUAAGCACCGGCUAACUCUGUGCCAGCAGCCGCUGUAA
RNAcentral lists this ribosomal RNA (501 nucleotides) under uncultured bacterium. RNAcentral's name for it is "partial 16S ribosomal RNA". It matches the Rfam family "Bacterial small subunit ribosomal RNA", at positions 30 to 523 of the family's 1533-position model. The record is from RNAcentral.